GGGCUGCUACGCUCCCACCUGCCGGCUCGCCCAGGUGCGCCGGGGCCGCCACGCCCGGGCCUGUCCAGCCCUGCGCUCCCGCGCUUCCGCCCGGCCCGACGGAGCCACUGCGGCAGGUGCGGCCCAGGCACGGGGUCGGGGCUGCCCAGCGGGACCCCGGUGCCUCCCAGCCGAGCGCGGGCCAGCGGCGGGGCUGGUGGGUCCAAGCAGGAGCGGGGAGGCAGUGCUUCCCAGUUCCCUCCAGCCCCGGUCUCCGUAGGAAGAGCUCCCUGUGACUGUGAACACACAGGAAAGCAGAACAAAACCCCACAACCUCUUCAUUAUGGAAAAUGUCAAACAUGCAGGAAAGAAUUGAACAGAGUAAGCCAGCGCUUCUCACACUUCAGUGUGCUCAGGAAUCCCCUGGGCAUUUUAUUUGAUUAAAAUACAGAUCCUGACUCAGUAGGUUUGGGGUGGAGCCGAGAUUCUGCAUUUCUAGCCAGCUCCCAGGUCUGAGGCUUCUGAACCACAUCUGAUAGGAGGUUCUAAUGAACCCCCGUGACCCCAAUUCCCCAGCAACCACAACUCAUAAUCAAUUUUAUUUCAUCCACAUUCCUCUCCCACCAUCGUUUUGAAGCAAAACCCAGGCGUCAUAUCAUUUUAUUCAUAAAUAUUUUUGUAUCUCUAAAACGUAAGGAUUUUUAAAAGUACGUAUCCACAAUACUAUAUAUAUAUAUUUUUUGAGACUCUGUCGGAGUGCAGUUGCCAUCUCGGCUCACUGCAACCUCCGCCUCCCGGGUUCAAGCAAUUCUCUGCCUCCGCCUCCCGAUUAGCUAGGAUUGUAGGUGCCUGCCACCAAACCCGGCUAAUUUUUGUAUUUUUAAUAGAGAUGGGGUUUCACCAUCUUGGCCAGGCUGGUCUUGAACUCCUGACCUCGUGAACCACCCGCCUCGGCCUCCGAAAGUGUUGGGAUUACAGGCGUGAGCCACCGCGCCUGGCCCACAAUACAUUCUUAAACCUAAAAUUAAUAGCACUAAUUCUAUAAUACCAAAUAUCCACGCAGGUUCAAAUGUGCAGGAUUUUUGUUUGUUUUUGACAUGGAGUCUCACUCUAUUGCCUAGGCUGGAGUGCAGUGGCGCCAUCUCAGCUCACUGCAACCUCCGCCUCCCAGGUUCAAGCAAUUCUCCUGCCUCAGCCUCCUGAGCAGCUGGGAUUAUAGGCAUGGCCAGCUAAUUUUUGUAUUUUUAGUAGAGACAGGGUUUCACCAUGUUGGCCAGGCUGGUCUCGAACUCCUGAACUCAGGUGAUCCGCCCGCCUCGGCCUCCCAAAGUGCUAGGAUUACAGGCAUGAGCCACCGAGCCUAGCCAGCCUCUGGAAACUUGAUGGGGUGCUGGGCUCCUCCUGCAAGGCCAUCUCCCCAACCUUGUCUCCCCAUUACCUCUUCCCCUUCUCAGGGGCAAGGGCUGGUCAGCAGACUUAGGGCUCAAGCAGAACAUCCAUCCCAGCAGCAAAAGAUAAGGCACCAUCAGCCAGGUGCGGUGGCUCAUGCUUGUAAUCCCAACACUUUGGGAGGCCGAGGCAGGCAGAUCACCUGAGGUCAGGAGUUCGAGACCUGCCUGGCCAACAAGGUGAAACCCUAUCUCUACUAAAAAUACAAAAAUUAGCCGGGCAUGGUGGUGCUUGCUUGUAAUCCCAGCUACUUGGGAGGCUGAAGCAGGAGAAUCACUUGAACCCAGGACGCAGAGGUUGCAGUGAGCCGAGAUCGUGCCACUGCACCCCAGCCUGGGCAACAAGAGUGAAACUGCAUUUCAAAAAGAACGAAAGGAAGGCAGGAAGGAAGGAAGGAAGGAAGGAAGGGAGGGAGGGAGGGAGGGAGGGAGGGAGGGAGGAGAGAGAGAGAGAGAAAGAGAGACAAGAAAGAAAAGGCACCCUCCCCCACUCCCCUGCACCUCCUCCACCUCCUCCUCUCUCCCCUCCUUCAGCUUUAGCACCCCCUGGUGGAAGACGGGGGUGGGGACAGCUCUGUGAGUCGGGCACCUCUCAGCCAGCCUUCUGGGUUCGGGAUGACAGGCUUCCCCUCUUCACACCUCCCUCCCCACACCAUCCGGUCCACACUCCCCGUUCCACUCCACCCCUAAGGCCUGCCUCCCUGCACCCAGCCCACAUGUCACCCUCCACUCCACCCUACAAAGAUGUGGCUGGGGUAAGGUCUGGUGCCCAGGCCUCCGCUCUGUUUGAUCUCGGCCUUGUCCUUGGUAGCAUUCAGCAUAAUAUUAAUCUGCAUUGUCUCCUGUGACAUGUCCCUCUCCACCUCUGGACAAUGACUCUGUAAGGGCGAGGGCAGUAUUCUGGCCACUGCUGAGCCCCCUGGCACUGUGCCUGGCCCAUUGUAGCUGCUCAGUAAAGACUUAGUGACUGAACCAACCAAGGAGUUUUGUGUCUCUUCUGGGUACUACCCAUAGGAGGAAGAUGUGGCUUGAAGACCCAAAUGGUGGGACCGAGUAAGCAAUAGUAGGGGAAUAUGCUUGGCUAGCCUACCACAGGGUGGGAUCUGGGAUGUGUGGUCACUGUUCAGUCUGAUACAAUCUGUCCUAGGAUGUUUCUGAUUUUGCUGUUCUUCCCUUGCUCCCUGAGGGAAGGCCUAGAGGCCUCAUCCUUGUGGGGCCCCCAAGGUCCUAGCAUGAGGCUGGACCUUCGUAUGGUGGUGAAAGAACCAGAGUGUACAACCUGAAUCUGAGGCCUCUUCUCUUGCCACGAAUUUGCACCAUCCACUCCAAAGCAGGUUCCUCCCUGUGGACAGCCCUCCUCACCACUCCCACUGAAGCUCUGCAUGAGCCAGAUCCUCUCCCUAUGGAAUUGUCCACCUUUCCUUCCUUCCUCUUUCCUUCCCUCCCUCCCUCUCUCCCUCCCUUCCUUCUUUCCAAGCCUAACUCUAAACUCACAUCUACAAGGAGGUGUUCCCGAGUGAACUCUAGAUCCA
This 2959-nucleotide long non-coding RNA is filed under the name Homo sapiens (human). RNAcentral describes it as "HSALNT0334013". Lineage: Eukaryota; Metazoa; Chordata; Mammalia; Primates; Hominidae. The record is from RNAcentral.